CCUACGGGUGGCAGCAGUGGGGAAUAUUGCACAAUGGGGGAAACUCUGAUGCAGCGACGCCGCGUGAGUGAAGAAGUAUUUCGGUAUGUAAAGCUCUAUCAGUAGGGAAGUAAAUGACGGUACCUGAUUAAGAAGCUCCGGCUAACUACGUGCCAGCAGCCGCGGUAAUACGUAGGGGGCAAGCGUAAUCCGGAUUUACUGGGCGUAAAGGGAGCGUAGACGGCAGCGCAGGUCUGAAGUGAAAUGUCGGGGCUUAACCCCGGAACUGCUUUGGAAACUGUGCAGCUAGAGUGCAGGAGAGGUAAGUGGAAUUCCUAGGGUAGCGGUGAAAUGCGUAGAUAUUAGGAGGAACACCAGUGGCGAAGGCGGCUUACUGGACUGUAACUGACGUUGAGGCUCGAAAGCGUGGGGAGCAAACAGGAUUAGAUACCCGGGUAGUC
RNAcentral lists this ribosomal RNA (440 nucleotides) under uncultured bacterium. RNAcentral describes it as "partial 16S ribosomal RNA". It matches the Rfam family "Bacterial small subunit ribosomal RNA", at positions 338 to 795 of the family's 1533-position model. The record is from RNAcentral.